GCCUGGGUGGCUCAGUCGGUAAAGCGUCUGACUUUGGCUCAGAUCAUGACCUCACAGUUCGUGAGUUCGAGCCCCACGCUGGGCU
Molecule: transfer RNA, 85 nt
Filed under: Felis catus (domestic cat)
Lineage: Eukaryota; Metazoa; Chordata; Mammalia; Carnivora; Felidae
Rfam family: tRNA
About the family: Transfer RNA (tRNA) molecules are approximately 80 nucleotides in length. Their secondary structure includes four short double-helical elements and three loops (D, anti-codon, and T loops).
Source: Rfam by way of RNAcentral